Molecule: ribosomal RNA, 233 nt
Filed under: uncultured bacterium
Lineage: Bacteria
Description: partial 16S ribosomal RNA
Rfam family: Bacterial small subunit ribosomal RNA
Source: RNAcentral
CGGGACGGGUGAGUAAUGCUUGGGAAUCUGGCUUAUGGAGGGGGGUAACUACGGGAAACUGUAGCUAAUACCGCGUAGUAUCGGAAGAUGAAAGUGCGGGACCGUAAGGCCGCAUGCCAUGGGAUGAGCCCAAGUGGGAUUAGGUAGUUGGUGGGGUAAAGGCCUACCAAGCCUGCGAUCUCUAGCUGGUCUGAGAGGAUGGCCAGCCACACUGGAACUGAGACACGGUCCAG